AUUGAACGCUGGCGGCGUGCCUUACACAUGCAAGUCGAACGGCAGCACGGGAGCAAUCCUGGUGGCGAGUGGCGAACGGGUGAGUAAUAUAUCGGAACGUGCCCAGUCGUGGGGGAUAACGUAGCGAAAGCUACGCUAAUACCGCAUACGAUCUAUGGUUGAAAGCGGGGGAUCGCAAGACCUCGCGCGAUUGGAGCAGCCGAUAUCAGAUUAGGUAGUUGGUGAGGUAAAGGCUCACCAAGCCGACGAUCUGUAGCUGGUCUGAGAGGACGACCAGCCACACUGGGACUGAGACACGGCCCAGACUCCUACGGGAGGCAGCAGUGGGGAAUUUUGGACAAUGGGCGCAAGCCUGAUCCAGCAAUGCCGCGUGCAGGAUGAAGGCCUUCGGGUUGUAAACUGCUUUUGUACGGAACGAAACGGCGAGCUCUAAUACAGUUUGCUAAUGACGGUACCGUAAGAAUAAGCACCGGCUAACUACGUGCCAGCCGCCGCUGUAA
Molecule: ribosomal RNA, 500 nt
Filed under: uncultured bacterium
Lineage: Bacteria
Description: partial 16S ribosomal RNA
Rfam family: Bacterial small subunit ribosomal RNA
Source: RNAcentral